This 504-nucleotide ribosomal RNA is filed under the name uncultured bacterium. RNAcentral describes it as "partial 16S ribosomal RNA". It matches the Rfam family "Bacterial small subunit ribosomal RNA", at positions 30 to 523 of the family's 1533-position model. The record is from RNAcentral.
AUUGAACGCUGGCGGCAGGCCUAACACAUGCAAGUCGAACGGUAGCACAGAGAGCUUGCUCUCGGGUGACGAGUGGCGGACGGGUGAGUAAUGUCUGGGAAACUGCCCGAUGGAGGGGGAUAACUACUGGAAACGGUAGCUAAUACCGCAUAACGUCGCAAGACCAAAGUGGGGGACCUUCGGGCCUCACACCAUCGGAUGUGCCCAGAUGGGAUUAGCUAGUAGGUGGGGUAAUGGCUCACCUAGGCGACGAUCCCUAGCUGGUCUGAGAGGAUGACCAGCCAAGCUGGAACUGAGACACGGUCCAGACUCCUACGGGGGGCAGCAGUGGGGAAUAUUGCACAAUGGGCGCAAGCCUGAUGCAGCCAUGCCGCGUGUAUGAAGAAGGCCUUCGGGUUGUAAAGUACUUUCAGCGGGGAGGAAGGCGGUGGAGUUAAUAACUUCACCGAUUGACGUUACCCGCAGAAGAAGCACCGGCUAACUCCGUGCCAGCCGCCGCCGUAA